This 343-nucleotide unclassified non-coding RNA is filed under the name soil metagenome. RNAcentral's name for it is "partial contains 5.8S ribosomal RNA, internal transcribed spacer 2, and large subunit ribosomal RNA". The stretch from base 1 to 120 matches the Rfam family "5.8S ribosomal RNA", at positions 35 to 154 of the family's 154-position model. The record is from RNAcentral.
GAUGAAGAACGCAGCGAAAUGCGAUAAGUAAUGUGAAUUGCAGAAUUCAGUGAAUCAUCGAAUCUUUGAACGCACAUUGCGCCCGCUAGUAUUCUGGCGGGCAUGCCUGUCCGAGCGUCAUUUCAACCCUCAAGCCCCCGGGCUUGGUGUUGGGGAUCGGCGAGCCUCCGCGCCCGCCGUCCCCUAAAUCUAGUGGCGGUCUCGCUGUAGCUUCCUCUGCGUAGUAGCACACCUCGCACUGGGAAACAGCGCGGCCGCGCCGUUAAACCCCCAACUUCUGAACGUUUGACCUCGGAUCAGGUAGGAAUACCCGCUGAACUUAAGCAUAUCAAUAAGCGGAGGA